GGGCCGGUGGCUCAGCUUGGUUAGAGCGUUCGGCUGAUAACCGAAAGGUCGAGAGUUCAAAUCUCUCCCGGCCCA
This 75-nucleotide transfer RNA is filed under the name Candidatus Bathyarchaeota archaeon. Its description in RNAcentral is "tRNA-Ile". It matches the Rfam family "tRNA". Rfam says of the family: Transfer RNA (tRNA) molecules are approximately 80 nucleotides in length. Their secondary structure includes four short double-helical elements and three loops (D, anti-codon, and T loops). Further hydrogen bonds mediate the characteristic L-shaped molecular structure. tRNAs have two regions of fundamental functional importance: the anti-codon, which is responsible for specific mRNA codon recognition, and the 3' end, to which the tRNAs corresponding amino acid is attached (by aminoacyl-tRNA synthetases). tRNAs cope with the degeneracy of the genetic code in two manners: having more than one tRNA (with a specific anti-codon) for a particular amino acid; and 'wobble' base-pairing, i.e. permitting non-standard base-pairing at the 3rd anti-codon position. The record is from RNAcentral. Lineage: Archaea; Thermoproteati; Candidatus Bathyarchaeota. RNAcentral also lists the same sequence under 2 other names.